UACGUAGGGUGCAAGCGUUAAUCGGAAUUACUGGGCGUAAAGCGUGCGCAGGCGGUUUUGUAAGUCUGUCGUGAAAUCCCCGGGCUUAACCUGGGAAUGGCAUUGGUGACUGCACGGCUAGAGUGUGUCAGAGGGGGGGUAGAAUUCCACGUGUAGCAGUGAAAUGCGUAGAGAUGUGGAGGAAUACCGAUGGCGAAGGCAGCCCCCCUGGGAUAACACUGACGCUCAUGCACGAAAGCGUGGGGAGCAAACAGG
Molecule: ribosomal RNA, 255 nt
Filed under: uncultured bacterium
Lineage: Bacteria
Description: partial 16S ribosomal RNA
Rfam family: Bacterial small subunit ribosomal RNA
Source: RNAcentral